CUGCUUCUUCCCUAUGACCGUCAUGAUACCCCCAUGCAACAAACCAUUUCUGAAUGCAGCAAAUUCUGUCAGUGGGAGGAAUAGUGUUGCCUCUAUCCUUUUUUCCUUUUUAAUCUCCAAAAGUUAUGUUGCAAGUUUGUGGGUCGUACUUGUGAAAGAUUGCCCUGUGUAAGCUUUUCAGAUUCACGCUGACGCGUCCG
This 200-nucleotide long non-coding RNA is filed under the name Physcomitrium patens. RNAcentral describes it as "long non-coding RNA (PPAT_LNC008685)". Lineage: Eukaryota; Viridiplantae; Streptophyta; Bryopsida; Funariales; Funariaceae. The record is from RNAcentral.